GACGAACGCUGGCGGCGUGCUUAACACAUGCAAGUCGAACGGAAAGGCCCUGCUUUUGUGGGGUGCUCGAGUGGCGAACGGGUGAGUAACACGUGAGUAACCUGCCCUUGACUUUGGGAUAACUUCAGGAAACUGGGGCUAAUACCGGAUAGGAGCUCCUGCUGCAUGGUGGGGGUUGGAAAGUUUCGGCGGUUGGGGAUGGACUCGCGGCUUAUCAGCUUGUUGGUGUGGUAGUGGCUUACCAAGGCUUUGACGGGUAGCCGGCCUGAGAGGGUGACCGGCCACAUUGGGACUGAGAUACGGCCCAGACUCCUACGGGAGGCAGCAGUGGGGAAUAUUGCACAAUGGGCGGAAGCCUGAUGCAGCAACGCCGCGUGCGGGAGGACGGCCUUCGGGUGGUAAACCGCUUUCGCCUGUGACGAAGCGUGAGUGACGGUAAUGGGGAAAGAAGCACCGGCUAACUACGU
This 467-nucleotide ribosomal RNA is filed under the name uncultured bacterium. RNAcentral's name for it is "partial 16S ribosomal RNA". It matches the Rfam family "Bacterial small subunit ribosomal RNA", at positions 28 to 506 of the family's 1533-position model. The record is from RNAcentral.